This 637-nucleotide ribosomal RNA is filed under the name uncultured bacterium. RNAcentral's name for it is "bacterial SSU rRNA". It matches the Rfam family "Bacterial small subunit ribosomal RNA", at positions 202 to 842 of the family's 1533-position model. The record is from RNAcentral.
UAAAGGUAUUCCGGUAGACGAUGGGGAUGCGUUCCAUUAGAUAGUAGGCGGGGUAACGGCCCACCUAGUCUUCGAUGGAUAGGGGUUCUGAGAGGAAGGUCCCCCACAUUGGAACUGAGACACGGUCCAAACUCCUACGGGAGGCAGCAGUGAGGAAUAUUGGUCAAUGGGCGAGAGCCUGAACCAGCCAAGUAGCGUGAAGGAUGACUGCCCUAUGGGUUGUAAACUUCUUUUAUAAAGGAAUAAAGUCGGGUAUGGAUACCCGUUUGCAUGUACUUUAUGAAUAAGGAUCGGCUAACUCCGUGCCAGCAGCCGCGGUAAUACGGAGGAUCCGAGCGUUAUCCGGAUUUAUUGGGUUUAAAGGGAGCGUAGAUGGAUAUUUAAGUCAGUUGUGAAAGUUUGCGGCUCAACCGUAAAAUUGCAGUUGAUACUGGAUAUCUUGAGUGCAGUUGAGGCAGGCGGAAUUCGUGGUGUAGCGGUGAAAUGCUUAGAUAUCACGAAGAACUCCGAUUGCGAAGGCAGCCUGCUAAGCUGCAACUGACAUUGAGGCUCGAAAGUGUGGGUAUCAAACAGGAUUAGAUACCCUGGUAGUCCACACGGUAAACGAUGAAUACUCGCUGUUUGCGAUAUACUGCAA